GCGACGGUCGGGGCAGCAGCGGGGGGAAGACGGAGGGGUGUAGCGGUGGUCGGAAGUAGUGGGCGGAGAGCUGACGUAGGCGGACAGUUAAGUCAGGGGGUAAAUGCCGGGGCUCGACCUCGGAACUGCGUGUGAUACUGGGUGUCUUGAGUAUGGAAGAGGUGAGUGGAAUACCGAGUGUAGAGGUGAAAUUCGUAGAUAUUCGGAGGAACACCAGUGGCGAAGGCGGCUCACUGGUCCAUUACUGACGCUGAGGUGCGAAAGCGUGGGGAGCAAACAGGAUUAGAUACCCGUGUAGUC
RNAcentral lists this ribosomal RNA (300 nucleotides) under uncultured Neomoorella sp. RNAcentral describes it as "bacterial SSU rRNA". It matches the Rfam family "Bacterial small subunit ribosomal RNA", at positions 496 to 795 of the family's 1533-position model. The record is from RNAcentral. Lineage: Bacteria; Bacillati; Bacillota; Clostridia; Neomoorellales; Neomoorellaceae.